Molecule: ribosomal RNA, 253 nt
Filed under: uncultured bacterium
Lineage: Bacteria
Description: partial 16S ribosomal RNA
Rfam family: Bacterial small subunit ribosomal RNA
Source: RNAcentral
UACGUAGGUGGCGAGCGUUGUCCGGAUUUAUUGGGUUUAAAGGGUGCGUAGGCGGUCUAUUAAGUCAGUGGUGAAAUAUGGCAGCUCAACUGUCAAGGUGCCAUUGAUACUGAUGGACUUGAGUGAAGUCGAAGUAGGCGGAAUUGACGGUGUAGCGGUGAAAUGCUUAGAUAUCGUCAAGAACACCGAUAGUGAAGACAGCUUACUAGGCUUAUACUGACGCUGAGGCACGAAAGUGUGGGGAUCAAACAGG